AAGUUUAGAAGUAGGCGGACGUCCUUUUUUGGCAAAACUUUUGAAAGUUAAAUUAAUUUGAUAUUAUAGGAUCAGUUAAGUUGUAAGGUGUAUAUAUAAGUAGUUAGUGUUUAUUAUUUAUAGUUUUAGUUUUUUUCUCUUCACCUGGUAAGUCAUUUUAUUGUAUUAUAUGUAAAUAGAAUUUUUCUCUUGGCGUCCAUGUUGGAGCCCGAAGACCCUGGAGGGGCAUCCCUCCAGGUGUCUCAUGUAGUCACAAUAGAUGCGUCGGGAAUGGAAACGGAAAGUUCAAUUAUAGAUACGGACUGUUCGGAAAACACGAAAUCAAUUAAAAGAAAGAGAAUCUCAGAUAGAAAUCAAAGGAAGAGAAAAAAUCACAGAUAUAAGGGUCCAUCAGAUUCCCAAUACUCUCCCAAUGAUUUGAAGGAUAAUGUUAUUCCUAACAUGCUUGAGUCUAAUGAUAAAAACACCGAAAUCCACCAUAAUGAGGCUGUUCAGUCUAAUAAUAUCACAAGUAACCCUCGUUCUGCUCGGUCACUUUACCACGCGUCAGACCCUGCGCCUUAUGUUGUCCAUGUUCAAAAAAUCUUACUACCAAAUCAAACCGGAUCUAUUCACCCAGUACAAUUUGGAUUUUUCCUUAAAAAAAGUUUGAUAAAAAACAUUGUAGAGGGAAGCAUCAAAAAGAUUGGAAGGAAUAGGUUGUCUUUACAAUUUAAAACAUUUCAGGAUGCUAACACAUUUCUAGAUCACAAAUCUCUUGAUGUUAAUAAAUACAAAGCAUUUAUUCCGGCCUUCACUAUCACCCGCAUGGGAAUUGUGAGAGGUGUGCCAUGUGACUGGGAUGAGAAAGAUAUUAUAGAAAAUAUUGAGCUUCCGCAGAACUGUGGAAGCAUUUUGAAAGUUCGGAGAUUAAACCGAAAGGUAUAUGAUGGAGAGACACCCAAGUUCAUUCCAACUGAGACCGUAGUUUUAACCUUUGACGGGAAGGUGUUACCUCCCAGGGUCUUUAUAUGUUUCAAUUCCUUAUCUGUAGAGCUUUAUAUUUUCCCCACGCUGCAAUGUUUUAAUUGUUGCCGUUUUGGUCACACCAAAAUGCAAUGCAGAGGCACUCCAAGGUGUUACAAAUGUGGUGACAACCACUCAGGUAUAAGCUGUGAGACUGAAAGGAAUGAUGCUGUCUGUAUCUUAUGUUCUGGUUCCCAUUUCGCAACCGACAAAAAGUGCCCGGAGUAUGCUAGACAAAAAGCUAUUAAGGAAACAAUGGCUAGAAACUCUAUAUCUUAUUCAGAAGCCAGUAAAGUCCAUCCACCAGUUUCGAAAUCUUAUGCUGACGUUCUUGCUUCUGCUUCAUCGGCCCCUACUGGUCCAACUAUUACUUAUUCCAACCCCAAUAAUUUAACAAGCCUUUCUAAGAGUCCCACACAGUCAUAUAGGAAAACAGUAUUCUUGAAACCCAAAGUUCGUCCCAGAAAUUCUAGUAAGGGAUAUGAUCAAAAAGCGCAUGCAGAUCUUAUCCAAGAUUACAGCAACAUUUCUUCCUUUUCUACAGGUUGUCUCAAAAAUUACAAUGAUUUGUCAGAAAUAAUAACAAAGGAUCUCAUCAUUUCUAUCAUUCAGUACCUUUCACAAUCUAAUAUAAUUAAAAUACCGUCCAACGAUGCUGCUACUUUGAAAAGUUUUUUAAAUCAUGGCCAGUCAGGACCAUCCACAAAACCAGUCUCUAGUGAUUCAGUGGAAUUGCCGGAGUAUUAAUAGUAAAAAAAGUGACCUAAUUUAUUUAUUGAAUAGUUACAAACCAUUUGCAGUCUCUCUUCAAGAGACUUGGCUUCGUCCCGGAUUCAAUUUUAGAAUUCCAGGACAUAUCUGUCUUAGAGAAGACAGAACAGAUGGGUAUGGUGGAGUUGCACUAAUUCUUAGAGGAGGUGUGCCCUUUGUCCACAUACCCAUCCCUAAUCACAGUGAUAAAUUUUCCAUUAUUGCUGCUAGUGUAAAUAAUAUUUGUUUUGUAAAUAUGUAUAUACCUCACCCUUCCACUGAAGUCUUUGAUGAUAUUUGUAGCAUUCUAUCUUCACUCCCGCGCCCUAUUUUAGUCAUGGGAGAUUUCAAUGCACAACAUUCUAUGUGGGGAAGUUCUAAGUCUGAUCAUUAUGGGGCUAGAAUCUUAGACAUCUUAGAUGAUAAUAAUUUAUGCCUUCUAAACUCUGGCUGUUCUACUAGAAGGUCACAGCCCCAUGAGGGUAUUAGUGCACCAGACCUAACCCUGUGUAGUCCCUCCCUUGCCCCUACAUUAAACUGGUGGCCUCUAUCGUCUUCAUAUGGAAGUGAUCACUUUCCACUAAUUGUAUCAUUUCCUCAAAAAAUUAGCGAAAAGUUGUCAAAGUCUCCUUCCCGGUUAAAAUAUAAACUUAAGGAUGCUAACUGGUCAUUAUAUAGAGAUAAAGUUCAACAAAAUUUAUCAACCAUACCUCCACUAAAUGAUAGCAAUAAUCAUCUUUGUAAUGAAGCUUUUACACAGGCCCUACUACAGGCUGCUGAGGAAGUUUUUCCUAUUAAAAAUAAUAAUGGCAAUGGGUAUAUUCCAUCACCUCCUUGGUGGGACAGUGCGUGUUCUGCUGCGAUAGCUGAGAGAAAGAUAGCUGAAAAAAAUUACAGAGAAAAUUCUACAUCACAAAAUUUUAAUGUUCUUUGUAAUAUUAUAACUAAAACACGUAAAUUAUUAAAACAAAAAAGAUUCAAUGGCUGGAAAUCUUUUUGUGCCUCAAUUUCACCAGACAUUUCUCCAUCUGAAGUUUGGCAAAAUAUUCGUAGAUUCAGAUCCUCUUUUAAACCUCCAAGGUCUCCUCUUAUGGAUAGCAGUACAGUUGAUUUGUUUCUUGACAGAUUAGCUCCACCAUUUGUCCCAUCUAUAGAUAAUAUGUCUUCUAACUCACAGCUUUCUCUCCUCCCCCAGCAUGAUAGUAGCAAUUCAUUCAUUUCCUUUAGCCUUUCAGAACUCAAAGGGGUUCUUUCAAAACUAAGGGACUCAGCCCCUGGUUGUGAUGGAAUUCCAUAUUCCUUUUUUCAAAACCUGAAUGAUUCCUGCCUUUCUUAUUUUCUCAGUUUAAUUAAUUCAAUCUUAACAUCAGGUAAUAUUCCUCCAUCAUGGAAAAUCCAUGAAGUUAUCCCAAUACACAAGCCCAACAAACCGAUUAAUGAUCCAUCAUCAUACAGACCAAUUGCAUUAGCUCCAGUUAUGUCCAAAAUUUCUGAACAUUUAAUUAAAACUAGACUAGAAUGGUUUAUUGAGAGUAAGGGGUUACUAUCACCAAACCAGUUUGGAUUUAGGAAAGGCAGGAGUACAAUGGAUAGUCUCAGUAUUUUUAUGACAGACUUAAGAUUGGCAUUUUCUUACAAUAAGUCUGUGUUAGCGGCAUUCUUAGAUGUGUCGGCAGCCUAUGAUAAUGUCAACCUUUCAAUUCUGAAACAAAAAAUGACUAAUUUGAAUAUCCCACAAAUUUUUAUAAGCUUCACAAUCAAUCUUCUCUCUGGUAGAAUGCUUAAAGUAAUAUCAGGAGACUCCUACCAAUCCCGUAUUGCCUGGAAAGGUUUACCUCAGGGCUCAGUUUUAAGUCCUUUACUUUACAAUAUAUAUUCUCAUGAUCUGGAAGCCUCCCUUAAGGGUAAAGUUAACACACUCCAAUAUGCAGAUGAUUUACUCCUCUAUGUGUCUGGUGAUUCUGUAGACAACAUGUCUGAUACUAUGACACAUUCCCUUAAGUUAUUAAAAGUCUGGCUUGACAAUAACACUUUAAGCCUUUCGGUUCCUAAAAGUAUUAUAGUCUUAUUCUCACGUAUGAGACUUCCUCCAGCAGUAUCUGUAUUUUAUAAUAACAUUAGAAUUCCCACUAAAAGUGAAGCAACAUUUCUUGGGGUAAUUUUAGACUCAAGACUUACAGGAAGCCCUCAUUGCUACUAUAUAAGUGCCAAAUGUGAGAAGAUUAUAAACAUACUGCGUUGUCUCUCUGGAGUUUGGUGGGGAGCCCAUCCUUUCUCUCUAAAGCUUCUAUAUAAUGCUCUAAUAAGAAGCAUUUUAGACUAUGGAACAUUUAUACUUGAACCCUGUAAUGCAGUAGCUCUCCAUAAGUUAGACAUUAUCCAGUCUAAGGCUCUGAGAAUAAUUGCGGGAGCUAUGCGGUCGAGCCCUAUUAACGCUUUGCAGGUGGAAUGUUCUGAAGCCCCCCUGCACCUCAGACGUCAAUUUCUUUGUGACAGGUUCCUGUUUAGAGCAUUUCAAGUUUAUACUCAUCCUCUUUACUAUAAGUUACGGUCUCUGUUGGAAUGUAUGGAUUAUUCGUACUGGGCUCAUAAAUCGCCGCCAUGCCUUAUUGUUAGUCUCCAAAAAUACUUAGCUCUUCAAGCUCCAACACAUAGAUCACAAUUUCUUCCUAUAUUUUGUGUUAACUAUGAUGCAUUAAUUUUAAAUCCAUCUAUUUUGUUUGACUUUGGUGUUUGUAAACAAGAUCCUUCUGCCAAUGCCAAAUUUAUGGAUAUUAUUGACAGUGACAGCCGAUGGAAACAUUGCCAUUUAGUUUUUAGUGAUUCUUCCAAACCCGGUCCUGAGAAGUGUGUGGGAGUUGGCAUUUUUCAUCAACAGUUUGGCAUUGUACAGAAAAUAAAAUUGCCUCCAGAGACUUCAGUAUUUACUGGAGAAUGUUUUGGUCUGCUGAAGUCUCUGGAAUACAUUUUAAUCAUGAAAUUAAAAAACACAAUAAUUUUUACCGACGCUAAAAGUGCCCUACAAGCCUUGGACAGAUUUCCUUUUAGCAGUAACAAUCAUCCAGUCAUUAUUGCAUGUCGUGAUUUAUUGUAUCAAUGUUGUAGCAAAAAUUACACAGUUUCCUUUGCUUGGAUUCCGGGGCACUCAGGAAUCUUUGGCAAUACCAAGGCUGAUAGCCUUGCCAAAGCUGCGGUCAAUGACGGAGAUCUGGUUCCGUACCAAAACUUUUGUUGUGAUUUGGCCCUCCUUCCUAAAUCCCAGUUAUUCAACUCUUGGACACAUAUGUGGCUUUCUUCAAGUCAGACUAAAGGUCGAUAUUACAGCACGAUCCAGGUGGAUAUACCUCCUAAACCGUGGUUUUCAAAUCUGACGUUUGGUAAAGCUACCACUUCGACUCUUAUUCGUAUGAGGCUGGGCCAUGCAUGCAUUCCCUUGCAUCUGGCAAGGCUUAACCUUUUGCCUAGUGAUAUAUGUGAGUGUGGUAAUGACGUUGGGGAUUUUAAUCAUAUAUUCUUUGCCUGUCCUCGACAUGACCGUUCCGCUUUUAUUUCCUCGCUUUUGUACAUUAAAAUUCCUUUUCCUACUUCAAUUUCUGUCCUUUUAUCUAAUAUAAAUAUUGAUGUAUAUAGAAUUUUAGCUAGUUUUAUUUUUCUUAACGAUAUAAAAUUAUAACCAUUUAUGUACUUAUAUACUAAAUUUACCUGAUCCUUUUCCAAAUUCCGUUCCAAUUCUCAAUCCAAUGACACACUUCCUCACCUUUUUGUAUGGCUGACGCACAAACCGUGCAGGCCAAUAAAUGGCGCAAAAAAAAAAAAAAGAAAAUAUACAUUACAAACAUUGUAAAUUUGUAUUAGAUUGAAUAGAUAUUAGAUUUAAAUAUUAUUAUUCUUGGUUCAAUAACUCUAGUUAUUAUUUAUUCAGUAUUUAGUUAAUGAUUUUACUGUUUGUUAGUUUAAAAACUACAGUAUUUGGUAUUAGAUGUCCAAAAUGUGGGGUGAUUCCUUACUUAUCGUAUUUAUUUCAAUUUGUACAGCAUUGUUGGGAGAAGGGUUGACAUGGCUUUUAGUUUACCGAACAGAAAAAUAUCAAAAGCUAAAAGUGGAAGUAGAACGGCAGAGUAUUAAAUUGGAGAAGCGUAUGGAGGAGUAUGGAGAUUCAAUUGAUAUGAAACAUUCUAUGAAGAAAAUUGAACGUGAAGAAAAAAGACUUAAAAAUUUGAA
RNA transcript from Leptidea sinapis, 5976 nucleotides. It is a transcript of the gene named calcium load-activated calcium channel, with no coding region annotated. NCBI's taxonomy places the organism in Eukaryota, Metazoa, Arthropoda, Insecta, Lepidoptera, Pieridae. The transcript has 3 exons. The record is from RefSeq and is a predicted model, not a curated record.